This 372-nucleotide ribosomal RNA is filed under the name uncultured bacterium. RNAcentral's name for it is "bacterial SSU rRNA". It matches the Rfam family "Bacterial small subunit ribosomal RNA", at positions 527 to 896 of the family's 1533-position model. The record is from RNAcentral.
GUAGGGUGCGAGCGUUGUCCGGAAUUAUUGGGCGUAAAGAGCUCGUAGGCGGCCUGUCGCGUCGGAUGUGAAAACUCGGGGCUUAACCCCGAGCCUGCAUUCGAUACGGGCAGGCUAGAGUUCGGCAGGGGAGACUGGAAUUCCUGGUGUAGCGGUGAAAUGCGCAGAUAUCAGGAGGAACACCGGUGGCGAAGGCGGGUCUCUGGGCCGAUACUGACGCUGAGGAGCGAAAGCGUGGGGAGCGAACAGGAUUAGAUACCCUGGUAGUCCACGCCGUAAACGUUGGGAACUAGGUGUGGGCGACAUUCCACGUCGUCCGUGCCGCAGCUAACGCAUUAAGUUCCCCGCCUGGGGAGUACGGCCGCAAGGCUA